This 1346-nucleotide ribosomal RNA is filed under the name uncultured bacterium. Its description in RNAcentral is "partial 16S ribosomal RNA". It matches the Rfam family "Bacterial small subunit ribosomal RNA", at positions 28 to 1381 of the family's 1533-position model. The record is from RNAcentral.
GACGAACGCUGGCGGCGUGCUUAACACAUGCAAGUCGAACGGAAAGGCCCUGCUUUUGUGGGGUGCUCGAGUGGCGAACGGGUGAGUAACACGUGAGUAACCUGCCCUUGACUUUGGGAUAACUUCAGGAAACUGGGGCUAAUACCGGAUAGGAGCUCCUGCUGCAUGGUGGGGGUUGGAAAGUUUCGGCGGUUGGGGAUGGACUCGCGGCUUAUCAGCUUGUUGGUGGGGUAGUGGCUUACCAAGGCUUUGACGGGUAGCCGGCCUGAGAGGGUGACCGGCCACAUUGGGACUGAGAUACGGCCCAGACUCCUACGGGAGGCAGCAGUGGGGAAUAUUGCACAAUGGGCGGAAGCCUGAUGCAGCAACGCCGCGUGCGGGAUGACGGCCUUCGGGUUGUAAACCGCUUUCGCCUGUGACGAAGCGUGAGUGACGGUAAUGGGUAAAGAAGCACCGGCUAACUACGUGCCAGCAGCCGCGGUGAUACGUAGGGUGCGAGCGUUGUCCGGAUUUAUUGGGCGUAAAGGGCUCGUAGGUGGUUGAUCGCGUCGGAAGUGUAAUCUUGGGGCUUAACCCUGAGCGUGCUUUCGAUACGGGUUGACUUGAGGAAGGUAGGGGAGAAUGGAAUUCCUGGUGGAGCGGUGGAAUGCGCAGAUAUCAGGAGGAACACCAGUGGCGAAGGCGGUUCUCUGGGCCUUUCCUGACGCUGAGGAGCGAAAGCGUGGGGAGCGAACAGGCUUAGAUACCCUGGUAGUCCACGCUGUAAACGGUGGGUACUAGGUGUGGGGUCCAUUCCACGGGUUCCGUGCCGUAGCUAACGCUUUAAGUACCCCGCCUGGGGAGUACGGCCGCAAGGCUAAAACUCAAAGGAAUUGACGGGGCCCCGCACAAGCGGCGGAGCAUGCGGAUUAAUUCGAUGCAACGCGUAGAACCUUACCUGGGUUUGACAUGGAUCGGGAGUGCUCAGAGAUGGGUGUGCCUCUUUUGGGGUCGGUUCACAGGUGGUGCAUGCCUGUCGUCAGCUCGUGUCGUGAGAUGUUGGGUUAAGUCCCGCAACGAGCGCAACCCUUGUUCACUGUUGCCAGCACGUUAUGGUGGGGACUCAGUGGAGACCGCCGGGGUCAACUCGGAGGAAGGUGGGGAUGACGUCAAGUCAUCAUGCCCCUUAUGUCCAGGGCUUCACGCAUGCUACAAUGGCUGGUACAGAGAGUGGCGAGCCUGUGAGGGUGAGCGAAUCUCGGAAAGCCGGUCUCAGUUCAGAUUGGGGUCUGCAACUCGACCUCAUGAAGUCGGAGUCGCUAGUAAUCGCAGAUCAGCAACGCUGCAGUGAAUACGUUCCCGGGGCU